GAUGAACGCUGGCGGCGUGCCUAAUACAUGCCAGUCGAACGGGGAGUCGCAAUACUCUUAGUGGCGAACGGGUGAGUAACGCGUUGGUACCUGCCCCGAAGCGGGGGAUAACGGACCGAAAGGUCCGCUAAUACCCCAUGUGCUCGGUAACGAGUAAAGGUGAAAACCACUUUGGGAGGGGCCUGCGUCCCAUCAGCUAGUUGGUAAGGUAACGGCUUACCAAGGCGAUGACGGGUAGGGGACCUGAGAGGGUGGCCCCCCACAAUGGAACUGAAACACGGUCCAUACACCUACGGGUGGCAGCAGUAGGGAAUAUUGGUAAUGGGCGCAAGCCUGAACCAGCAACGCCGCGUGUGCGAUGACGGCCUUCGGGUUGUAAAGCACUUUUGACGGGGACGAGGAAGGACGGUACCGGUCGAAUCAGCCUCGGCUAACUACGUG
Molecule: ribosomal RNA, 441 nt
Filed under: uncultured bacterium
Lineage: Bacteria
Description: partial 16S ribosomal RNA
Rfam family: Bacterial small subunit ribosomal RNA
Source: RNAcentral